ACGAGGUUAGGAUAAGUUUAAGCAUGAGGUUGAGGACGCGAAGGCGUUGGAAACGUGAAGGUGCAAUUCGCGCGUUGCUUGAGAGCGCGAUUUGCGGGAUUGACUGAAGGCGUGAGAAGCGUGAUUCGGGAGAGGAGACCAAGUCGCACAAGUUACCUCCAAAAGACCUAUGUGUAUAGCAUAUUCUAAGAAUAUAGUAGUUGAGUAAAGGUAAUUGCGAAAUGUAAAGUGUCUUCCGAGACACUAUAAAAGGGGAGCCCUUGAUGUAAACGGAUGCUCAUUUUUCAGAAUUGAACCACGAGUGCUUCUCUAACAUUGUUGUGUUCGAGUCUCCUUGAGAUUUGUUUCCCAACAUUGGCGCCCACUGUGUUCUAGUCACCAACCCAC
This 387-nucleotide long non-coding RNA is filed under the name Setaria viridis. RNAcentral describes it as "long non-coding RNA (SVIR_LNC004336)". The record is from RNAcentral. Lineage: Eukaryota; Viridiplantae; Streptophyta; Magnoliopsida; Poales; Poaceae.